RNAcentral lists this ribosomal RNA (467 nucleotides) under uncultured bacterium. Its description in RNAcentral is "bacterial SSU rRNA". It matches the Rfam family "Bacterial small subunit ribosomal RNA", at positions 330 to 793 of the family's 1533-position model. The record is from RNAcentral.
GCCAGACUCCUACGGGAGGCAGCAGUGAGGAAUAUUGGUCAAUGGGCUUACGCCUGAACCAGCCAAGUCGCGUGAGGGAAGACUGCCCUAUGGGUUGUAAACCUCUUUUGUCAGGGAGCAACGCCGGCUACGUGUAGCCGGACUGAGAGUACCUGAAGAAAAAGCAUCGGCUAACUCCGUGCCAGCAGCCGCGGUAAUACGGAGGAUGCGAGCGUUAUCCGGAUUUAUUGGGUUUAAAGGGUGCGUAGGCGGAAUGCCAAGUCAGCGGUAAAAUCGCGGGGCUCAACCUCGCUCCGCCGUUGAAACUGGCGCGCUUGAGUUCAGGCGAGGUAGGCGGAAUUCGUGGUGUAGCGGUGAAAUGCAUAGAUAUCACGAAGAACUCCGAUUGCGAAGGCAGCUUACCAGUCUGCGACUGACGCUCAGGCACGAAAGUGUGGGUAUCGAGCAGGAUUAGAUACCCCCGUAUG